AAAAAAUUCAGUCAUUAGAUUCAAUGUUUACGUGUCUUCUUCUGUGCUCUUCUCUGGUGUCCCUGCAGAGAUGCUUGCAUCUACCCCUGGUGCUGUUCCUUUGUCCGGUUCAUCUGGGUUGUGCGUCUUCUUCUGUGCUCUUCUCUGGUGUCCCUGCAGAGAUGCUUGCAUCUACCCCUGGUGCUGUUCCUUUGUCCGGUUCAUCUGGGUUGUGCGUCUUCUUCUGUGCUCUUCUCUGGUGUCCCUGCAGAGAUGCUUGCAUCUACCCCUGGUGCUGUUCCUUUGUCCGGUUCAUCUGGUGGGUGUGUCGGUGUUGUC
Molecule: long non-coding RNA, 318 nt
Organism: Sebastes umbrosus (honeycomb rockfish)
Lineage: Eukaryota; Metazoa; Chordata; Actinopteri; Perciformes; Sebastidae
Exons: 3
Source: RefSeq, a predicted model, not a curated record